Molecule: long non-coding RNA, 2268 nt
Organism: Mirounga angustirostris (Northern elephant seal)
Lineage: Eukaryota; Metazoa; Chordata; Mammalia; Carnivora; Phocidae
Exons: 2
Source: RefSeq, a predicted model, not a curated record
ACUCGGGUCCUCUGAGCUCAAGAAAGAGAAGCCUUUAAGACUUUAAAACCAGGCCAGUUUUGUUUCACUUAGUUCCGGGGAGAUGAGUCUUGCCCUACACCCUCCCUUCCUGGUUGCCCCGACAACAUCCUCCUCCCACAGAGGUCCGGUUCCCCUCACAGUGUGUGGUGGGGAGGGUGUCACAUCAUCAGUGGUUUGGAUGGUGGUUCAGAACUUGCCUCUGUUUUAGGUUCUAUACCUCCCACCCUUGGAACCCUCAACAUCAGAGGAGACUUCCUGGAAGAGGUGUGAGAGAGGCUUGGGGGCCCCAUGGUGGGAGGUGAUAGAUGAGACCAGGGUGUGAGUUAAACGGGGGGAUGUGGCCAAAGGGGACAGUUGGGGGUUGUGUCAUGCUUUCCUGUGGGUUCUGCAACCUUCCAUUCUGGAAGAGGGAGGCCCCAAUUCUAGUGUCUCUGUGGAAGGAGGGGACUGGAGGCCGGGAUGCUUGCAACUGAAGGAAAAGAGGGCUGGAUGCCUGGACUCGAGUCCUGAGGAGGAGGCAGGCAGGCAGGGGCUCAGACUCCUGGAUCCCUGCAUGGAGCUUAUCCCCAGGGCAAGCAAAUGGUGGAGAAUCACAAUUCUGGAAGUUUGUGGAGAGCAAGACACGUCCACAUCCUCCUCUGAUAAAAGUUCACAGACAGCUCUGCCUUGAGAAGGGCCUCCCGUGUGGUGGGCUUCAGUGCCAAAAUCAGGGUACCUGAGGGGCAGGGGCAGGCACACAGGACCGUCCCACCCUCCCAGCACUGGCCUCCUCCUCCCAUACAGGGAUCGGGAUGAGCAGGUGUCAGGUGAAGGUGUGAAGGUGCCACAGCCCAGGUAGAAGGUGCAGGCACAUGUGACCUCUAUGAAUAGGGGAAAGGCCUGGAAGAGGACCUCUGUCACGAAGAUGACCUGAGCCAGCAGUCCCACCACAGCUGGUGAAGGGGAGACCCAGAGGGACUCAAGAGGCCAGCGCCUCUUCCGUUAUUGGAGACUCCAGUUUGCCAGCCCCCAUCUCUCACCCAGACCCUCACCACCGAGAACUGCCUCAGACCCUGGACAGUGAAACCCCUGGACGCCAAGGCUGGACUGAACUUCCCCAGCGGGCAAUCCUCUGUGCAGAUCGUCACACAUUGUUGGUGGACGCGGUGAGUGCUGUCCGUGUGACUCCACUGGGAGAGGACAAUUGGAAGCUCACACCUGGUCUGGACGCUGCCUACGAGCCUCUUCCCUUGGCUGAUUUGCAUCUGUAUCCUUUCUGCUAUGAUCAUCUGUAAUCAUGAGCAUAACAGCUUUCCAGUGAUUCCUUCUGGCGAACCGUCGAAACUGAAGGCGGUCUUGGGGGCCCCUAAGCUGCAGUGAGGGAGGGAGGAUUGAGUCAAAGAGUUAGCGGGGAUCUGGAACACGGGGCAUCUUGUAUGACCUUGAUAGACUAGCUUUUCAUUGGAGCUGGGAGCCACUGGGGGGUUUAGAGCUGAGGGGUGAUGUGAUUUGAAUCAUGCCUUAACGAAAAUCCCUCUGUGUAGAGAAUGGACUGCCGGGGGAGCAGAAGGAGGGAAGGGGCACUGGCAGAGCCGGUUAGAAGGCUGAGGCCAUAAGCCCAGUGAAACAAGAUCAGGGUGGUAACUGGAUGAGCAAGGAAUCAAAUUCUGGGCACAUUUUUAAAAAUCUUUUUAUUGUUAUGUUAAUCACCAUACAUUACAUCAUUAGUUUCUGAUGUAGUGUUCCAUGAUUCAUUGUUUGUGCAUAACACCCAGUGAUCCAUGCAGAAUGUGCCCUCUUUAAUACCCAUCACCGGGCUAACCCAUCCCCCCACCCCCCUCCCCUCUAGAACCCUCAGUUUGUUUUUCAGAGUCCAUUGUCUCUCAUGGUUCGUCUCCCCCUCCGAUUUCCCCCCCUUCAUUCUUCCUGGACACAUUUUUAAGGUAGGAGCCAACGGCACUUACUGAUGAAUCAGAUGUGGGACGCAACAAAGCAGCUGAGGACGAUCCCAACACUCUUGGCUGGAGCAGCUGAAUGACAACGGGGCAAGAUGGGGAGAUAUGGGAGGAGUUGGUGUGGGAUGUGGGAGAGACUAAGACACGGGAGAUUUGAGAUGCCUCUUCUUUUCAAGUGGAUAUCAGAGAUGAGUCUGGAGUUACCACAUAAUUAUUAUUGCUAGAAUAAACUCCUAUAAAUAUGAUUCCUGGAGGAAGCCUCGGUAAAUAUGUCUACUUAAAUAGACCUCAAUAAAUUACGAUUAGAGAAGGC